GUCAACGGCCAUACCACCCUGAAAGCGCCCGAUCUUGUCUGAUCUUGGAAGCUAAGCAGGGUCAGGCCUGGUUAGUACUUGGAUGGGAGAAAAUCAGCAGGGUAAGCCUGGCAUGGUGCAUU
This 122-nucleotide ribosomal RNA is filed under the name Chinchilla lanigera (long-tailed chinchilla). The record is from RNAcentral. Lineage: Eukaryota; Metazoa; Chordata; Mammalia; Rodentia; Chinchillidae.